GAUGAAGAACGAAGCGAAAUGCGAUACUUGGUGUGAAUUGCAGAAUCCCGUGAACCAUCGAGUCUUUGAACGCAAGUUGCGCCUCAAGCCAUUAGGUUGAGGGCACGUCUGCCUGGGCGUCACAUAUCGUUGCCUGAUGCCAGUUUCCUCGUGAUGGGUGACUGUGCAGGGCGAAUGAUGGCUUCCCGUGAGCAUUGUUGCCUCAUGGUUGGUUGAAAAUUGAGUCCUUGGUAGGGAGCGCCGUGAUAGAUGGUGGUUGAGUGCCGAACGAGACCCAAUCAUGUGAGACCCCUACCGAAUUUGGCCUUCAUGACCCACAUGCGUCUUUGGAACGCUCAUGACGAGACCUCAGGUCAGGCGGGGCUACCCGCUGAGUUUAAGCAUAUCAAUAAGCGGAGGA
RNAcentral lists this unclassified non-coding RNA (400 nucleotides) under soil metagenome. RNAcentral's name for it is "partial contains 5.8S ribosomal RNA, internal transcribed spacer 2, and large subunit ribosomal RNA". The stretch from base 1 to 122 matches the Rfam family "5.8S ribosomal RNA", at positions 35 to 154 of the family's 154-position model. The record is from RNAcentral.